UCUGGAUAAACUUGUAUCCAUCCAAGAGAAUGGAACAAGUCACUUUACAGAGUUAUAACAAGCAACACAUUUUGGGCUUGCUAAAGACUUACAUACAAGUGAAAGUUUGAAAUGUUUGGAUAACCGUACAUCCUUCAAUAUUUUAUAUUGUAAAAGUAAUCUUGAAUAAUAAUUAUUAAGUUUUCAAGUUACGGUAUG
This 198-nucleotide non-coding RNA is filed under the name unclassified sequences. The record is from Rfam.